RNAcentral lists this ribosomal RNA (499 nucleotides) under uncultured Glomus. Its description in RNAcentral is "SSU rRNA". It matches the Rfam family "Eukaryotic small subunit ribosomal RNA", at positions 591 to 1092 of the family's 1831-position model. The record is from RNAcentral. Lineage: Eukaryota; Fungi; Glomeromycota; Glomeromycetes; Glomerales; Glomeraceae.
CCAAUAGCGUAUAUUAAAGUUGUUGCAGUUAAAAAGCUCGUAGUUGAAUUUCGGGAUCAAAUUGUUGGUCGUGCCUCGGUACGCACUGGUAUCAUUGAUUUCUCCCUUCUGAAGAACUUUGAUGUCAUAAAUUUGGUGUCAUGGGGAAUCAGGACUGUUACUUUGAAAAAAUUAGAGUGUUUAAAGCAGGCUCACGCUUGAAUACAUUAGCAUGGAAUAAUGAAAUAGGACGUUUGAUUCUAUUUUGUUGGUUUCUAGGAUCGACGUAAUGAUUAAUAGGGUAAGUUGGGGGCAUUAGUAUUCAAUUGUCAGAGAGGAAAUUCUUGGAUUUAUUGAAGACUAACUACUGCGAAAGCAUUUGCCAAGGAUGUUUUCAUUAAUCAAGAACGAAAGUUAGGGGAUCGAAGACGAUCAGAUACCGUCGUAGUCUUAACCAUAAACUAUGCCGACUAGGGAUCGGAUGAUGUUAAUUUUUUAAUGACUCAUUCGGCGCCUUACG